UACGGGGGGGGCAAGCGUUGUUCGGAAUUACUGGGCGUAAAGGGCUCGUAGGCGGCCAACUAAGUCGGAUGUGAAAUCCCCAGGCUUAACCUGGGAACUGCAUCCGAUACUGGAUGGCUUGAAUCCGGGAGAGGGAUGCGGAAUUCCAGGUGUAGCGGUGAAAUGCGUAGAUAUCGGAAGGAACACCAGUGGCGAAAGCGGCUUCCUGGUCCAGCACCGACGUCAGGCACGAAAGCGUGGGGAGCAAACAGG
Molecule: ribosomal RNA, 252 nt
Filed under: uncultured bacterium
Lineage: Bacteria
Description: partial 16S ribosomal RNA
Rfam family: Bacterial small subunit ribosomal RNA
Source: RNAcentral